GGGAGAGACUCUUUUGCAGGGUCUGCUAUGACAGGACAAGGGGAAAUGGUUUCAAACUGAAAGAGGGGAGAUUAAGGCAGGAUAUAAGACUAAAUAUAAGUUUUAUAGAAUAGCUAGAAGUUUGCUGUAGUAAGGACAGUGAAGCACUGAAACAGCUUGCCCAGAGAGGUGGUGGAUGCCCUGUUCCUGGAGACAUUCAAGGUUAGGCUGGACCAGGCCCUGAGCACCCUGAUAUAGUUGUAUAUGUCCCUCUUUAUUGCAGGGGAGUUGGACUAGCUGGCCUUUAAAGGUCCCAUCAAACUCUAAGGAUUCUAUGAUUCUAUGUGUUUUCUCAGAGCAGGCUGCUCCUGCAGAUGCAUUUGGAGAGCAGAAUAGGUUUCCAGCUAUAGAAUGCAAUCGGGAACAGUCAGCAAUAUGGCAGUUCUGAGCUUACAAAGUGCCUUACCAGCAAGGCUUUUCACUACUCUGAGCCACUCCAGCAGAAAAUAAGGUAGUUUUUCCACCUCAUCUGUGCUCUCCUCAUUUCCUUUGGGAAGUCAGGUUUCCAUAGGAAACCAUGCUGUUGGAAGCUGAUUCUUCCAGAGGUCUAACACUAGCCUCUGUAAGUCAGGAAGGCAGCUUAGCAGGCCCACUGGGAAGUAGCAGAUGGAUAGGAAAAUGACAUGCUUUCCAAAAGUAUUUAAAUAUCAACUCUCUUUUGUUACAGCUGUGUAAGAGCCAUAUAAAAUCAAGUAACAUGUAGGAGAGAAAAGGGGUCAUGAAGGAGGAGUUUGAGCAAAAAGUAAUGCUAAAAAAGAAAAAAAAAUCCAUUGCAAAUGGUAAUGUAAAUAAGGUAAAACUUGAAAACUAUGAAGCAAUACUGCAGAUAGUCAUGUCUGAAGGAAUACCUAGAGGGUUCUUUUUGGUGGUGAUCUUCACUCCUGGAUCUGAAUUUUUCUGGACUGUCUCCCUUACCACUUCUGCAGGACACAAUUGCAACAGAAUUUUCCUUGAAUCAACGGAGGACUAUUACUUGAUGAGAUCAUUGUUUUCAGGAAGUGUUAUAGAAAUGCGAUUACCAGACACUGAGGUUUUUUAACGUAUAAAAUAGGAAAGAGAGAGGACAAGCUGUGGUGAAGAAAAUGCAAGCAUUGUACAACUCAACAGACCUCCUGUCCCAGAGAGAUUUAUUUACUGGAAAUUACGACAAUGAUUUAUGGGCAGCUGGAAUUUGCAUGCAUUGCUCCGAAUCUGUGGAAGAAUCUAUGUGGUUGUUCAUGGCCUUCAGAAACAUGGAUGCUGCAAAGCAGAGCUAUGGAGAAUAUGGAAAGCAGGCUCAAAAAGCAUCUGCAAAUCUGUGCCAAUAUUAUUGCCUCUGUCAUCAAGCAAUGGAAAGGUUUUUCUAGUUAAAUUCAAGUAAUUAAAUCUCCCUGCUCUCAUUAAAAAAAAUACAACUGUCUGCUGCUGGUCUGAAGAAUUGCACAGAGUGAACGUAAAUUUUAAUUUCAUGGUGCAAGUGUUAAAUUAUUGCCAUCUAAGCUGUCUGCCAGUGUUACAUGAAAUCCCACCACAUUUUAAUAAUUCUCCCUUUGUUUUGGAUGGAAAUACCACGUGUUGUGAUUUGGAAGUUUUUAUGUGCAAUUAGAGCCCUGAGAACUACAACAUAAUCACAUUCAAUUCACCUAAUUGGACAGCGAGGAAACUGUCAUUUCUGAAAUGGUUUGUGUCUUUUGGAAUGUCUGUGUGUAUACACAUGCGUAUAAAAUGAAACAUUUUCUCACCCAUCCUGUGUUAAAAUGUAAUAGAAACUCCUGCUAACUGAAGUUGAAGAUAUAGCUGGGUGUUCUUUAGUAACCUCAAAACAUAUACGUGUGCGUGUAAAUAAAAAACUGUCCUUCUAAACACAAGGAUCCUUCCCUCCUACUUACUUUGCAACAUCUUAGUAAGGAUUUGCCAUCAAUUCCCUCUCUUUACAGUGCAUUUGAUGACAUUUUACAGAUCAUCAUACUAAAUAAGUAAGAACCAUCCUCUGAUUUAGAAGAAAAACCUUUAUUUAUUUCAAUUUAUUUUGGGAGUUCAGAAGUAAUGACAAACUUGACAAUCUUCAUGACAAACAUGACAAUCUUCACAUCACUUUAAGCUGUGUGACCAAAAAGCCAUUAGCUUCACAGAAACAGACAAUACAUUUCAUCCUGAAACAACACUUAUGAUCAACAUUUAUGCAAUCUAUAGGUACUUCCUAUAUUUGUAUCAAUGCAAGUAAGAAGACAUGGAGUAUCAAACCAGCAAGGGCUUAGAAAUAUCAAGCCCAAGAGUUUACCCAUUUACUUCAGUGGAAAAUAGUGCUAGUAAAUAUCAAUACAUAUUUUAAUCUUUUAUUUCAGUAAUUUCCAUGUAAAAGCAAACAUAUUCUGCCAACUUUAUUCAUUGUCUUUGAUCUUUUUUUGAAGCAUAUUAUGAUAGAUUUCUGAAUCUUUUAAUUCAAUGUUGAAGUAGAUAUUAAGUAUAUCACAACACCAAUCCACACUAAAUAGAACUUUUGUUUUUUGUUCUUUUGCUGAAAUGUCUGACAGUAUUUCAAGAAUAAUUUAAUUAUGAACUUUAUAUUAACAAAAGACAAGUGAUUUUUUAUUCCAUUCAGUGUGGAAUAAGAUACUACCUAUAUUUGUUAAGCCCUGUGUAUCAACCAGAAUUUGCAAAGGGAAGUUAUCAACUUCAGAUACUCAUUCUCCAUUUCCCAUAAAUAUGUUAAAAAUACAAAGUCAGCUCCUAAGUUUUUCAUCAAAUAAACUAGCUUAUUAAGAUUAAGUGGCCUGAAACCACCAUCUGUGAGUUCACAUUUAUAUCUAGAAAACCUGUAUAAUCAUGUGUAUUGAGAGUAAGGCUUAGUGUUGGAAGGCCCAACCUUGUAAACAAGCUUUGUUUACACAAGAAGACAAUAGGACUCUUCUUUUGUUUCAGAGUUUACAUGUUCAGAGGCUGAGAUCACUAUUUUUGAAAUGUGAUGAUGGGAAUACAAAGUAAUUACCUUUAUGAAGGUUUUACAAAGAAUCCUACUGUUUAAGUCAGACAGAGGUACAUGCCCGCUUCACCCUGAGCCCUUCUGCGAAUGGUCAGAAACAGAAUACUGUGUGAUCUCAAAAAGAUUCAGAGCAAACAUGGAAGACAGUUAUGUUUAAAUGACACUCUGGUUGGGCAGGCACUGAACGCAGUAACAGUUUCAACAUAGACACCUUAAACCUUCCAGUAUUCUAUUUUAGGUUUGUUCUUCAUUCUUGCAUCACAGCAGGAGUUGUACCCUUUAUCAGUGUUGAUGUCUUCUUAAAAGAGGGUCUGUGACCGCAUUUGAAGUAUCUCUACUACCAGUUGUGGUGAUUUCACCCUGAUGUGCAGCUAAACUACUACAUCAUUCUCCUGUUACUCCUACUCAAAGGAAGAGGGGGAGAAAAUGAAAUGAAAAAAGGCUCAGGGUUUGAGAUUACCGUCACUGAUCAGUGAUUAUGAGAAUAAAUAAACAUAGUGUGGAAAAAUCUUUGUAUAGUCAUUAAAAUACCCAAGUGUGGCAUUCUAGUAGAGAUUUAAUAAGGAGAAGAAACUGACCCUCAGACUUAGGAAUUCAUUUUCUUUACUUUUCUACAAGGACAGACAUACAUCUCUCUAUCUAAUUUAUAUAUACAUACGUAUAUAUAAAGCAAAGCUUUUAAAGAAUUUUUAUUUAUCAUUGUAAAAUCUCUACUUAGAAUUGGAAAGAGAUAGAAAAAAAAAAAGUAGACUUUGAUUAUCACCUUGAUACAUCUAAGUGUUUACAGUGGGAGCUAAGCUGUAGCAUAGCAAUGUAAUAAAAAUAGAAAGUAAAGUGACGUAAAAAGUGCACUGAGGACUACCUUAUAACUAAUUCCAAACGUUCAAGAAUAGUAAAUGGUUAACAGUGAUGCAAAAGGAAAUUACAGAAAAAACAAUCAAAAAGGACUCCUAAACAAUGAAAGGAAACAAAAAAUUAAUAAAGCAGAAGACUGAAAAACAGAUAAGGAGAGCAAAACGGUGAAAGAUUUCACAGAAGAUUAUGAAAUUAGCACAAAAAAUUUUUAAACAAUCCUAAGAAUAAACUGUCAUUGAAGAACAGAAUAGGGAUUGUGGAGGAUCAUUUUUUAAGGGAUGAGGUAAAAAAAGAUGGAAAAUUUAAACAAAUUCUUCGCAUAGCUGUUCAGAAAGAAAUGUCAGCUCGCAGAGCUGUAGAAAUAUAGGUACAUAUUUUCUGGAGCAAAAGGAAGGAUAAAACACCUAAGUAAACACACACUGUAUGUGACAUAGUACAGAUGACAAUCUUAGCAUGUAUCACAUAAAAUAAUUUCUCAGUGCUAAAGCAUAUGCACUUCAGAAUUCACAGAAAGGGACAAAAAACAGCAUCACUCUUCACAAGACUAAUUUACAUCACUUCACCAUUCAGAUAACUUUUCCUUUUCAAAAUGUUGCUUUGAAGUCACAUGGGCUACUUACAUGACUGACAACUCUAGGACUGCAGUGAAAAAGAAGUUUCAGUGGAAUUAAAGAAAAAGUAACGGGAAGUGUGCAGGAGGUAUCUGUGCAAAGAAGGGCCCCAUGCAACUCCUCUCACAGCUUGCCUCUAAAAACUCAAGAACUGGGUUUAAAUGAGAGAAACACCUUGUCUUUCUGGCAAGUUUUAGCAAUGCCUUCUAUGCAGGAAAGCAAUUUGCUUCAAGACCAAACAGAAAUGCACACUGGUUAAGAGUGAUAUAUUACAAAAACAACAGAGUAUAGCUAAAUUCAGCAAAUUAUGAAGCAAUGGCUAUUUCAGUGAGAGUCAGAGAUUCGUCUAAUGAGAUCCAGGAGUUUCAGCUCUGAACAAAAAGUGAUGAAUUCAAGCUUAAAUUCCUACAAGUAACCCCUAUUCUACAUUAAAGGUAACCAUCCAUCACAUUUUUAACUACAUCUACAAGGGAGUUCAGUAACUUCAGUCUAAAAAAUUCAAAACACAGACAUAUUUUCAGCCAAAACAAAGCCAGAGCCAGCAGUAAUUUUAAUUCUUUUCACUAAGUAUUGUUCUGGCCAUAAGACUAUGUGUAAAAUGGAUGUGGUUGAAGCCACAAUGGACUGUAAGGUUUAUAGGAUGAACAAGUUGCUAAGGAAGAGCUUGCAUGCCUAAAAACUUACAUUAUUCCAGCUGGAGUGCAUCCUGUAACAACAGUACUUCUUUAUUCUUCCAUAUCUUCCCUAAAAAGCUGAGCGCUCUGGCUGAAGACAGGCCAGGAGAGGCGCAUGGAUGUUUGCCUUCUUCAUGUUGCCUGAAAACCUAGUCCUUGUCUCAUCUGGGAACAGGACAGUCAUGCCAAGUGGAUGCAUCUCCCUGCAUCUGUGGAGAGACAGCAAAUGUGCUGUCUGGAAAGUAUCUGUGUUCUAGGAGGUGAGAAACUGGCUUGGGCUGUUUGAUUUCACUUCUACUCAGAGAAAUGGGGCAAUGAACUUUCUAAUAAACAGGUUUGGUUCACAGAGGGAUGACUCCACCAUCGAUCAUUCCACCAGAGGAAUAACUCAAGAUUCGAAAAUUUUAACCAGAUAAUUUUAUCAAAAGAAUAAUAAAAAAAAAAAAAAAAAAAAAAAAAAAAAAAGGACCAAGUAAUGACUUAAAACAAUUGCUGUGAUAUUACAUCUACAUAGGAUCUACUGGCCUAUAUGUCAGUUUUAAUCUGCCACUGGUUAAAUCCUACAUACUGAGCAAAAUAACUUACCAACACAAUACAUGCAAAGUAAAUAAAUACUCAAGCAACACUCUAUGUCCCACAUCCACUCAGAUACCAGAAGUGUGUAUUUCCAGUCUGUGAAAUACAAUGAUAAGUAAAAACAGUGAUUCUCCAUGAGUGCAUUACUCAGAAGAAGCAAUGUUAAGGCAGUCAGUGUGAUCUUUAAAAAUCACUCCCAGUAAAUAAAUAAAUAAGCACCUCUACCUGCACAGCUAUCUGAAGACAAGUUAACAAAUUCUGUUUUCCACUUAUUAGCAAAUCAGUUGUUCUGUAAAGAAUACAUGAUCAAAACCUACAGCAACAGCUGGCACAUGUAUAAAGCGGGGCAAAAAAAUUAAGAUGAAGUAUUUCUGACAAAAAAAUAUAUGAAACAAAACAAAGUUGAAAACUGAAGCAGAUAUCAGAUAACCAUUUUGUCAUUUAUAAAAUACUUUUUCAGGACAAAAGGGGUUGCCAUACCUUUUCACUCAGCAUAUCCUCAGAGUCACAUAUUAAGCUGAUCAAAUCCGAGGGUACUGCAGUAAGCUGAAGCUUGAAGCUGCCUCCACUUCCUUCAUUUCGUUUACAGUUUUGUUUGGGGGUUGUUCUUUUUUUUCUUUUUAGCUUGCAGAAACCUGAGGGAAAAAAUAUUUUGGGGGUUACUAUCGAAAUAGUUUAUUCAGUAGUCAAUUAACUGAAAAAAACAAAUAGUUCUAAACUGAUCUCUUAUAUACCAUGCCCCUUUUUAUAUCAUAGUUAUUGGUUCCAUUCUGUUGUUAUAUUUUACUGAAAACAUUAUGAAUAUAAAUGAGAAUAGUGCACAAAGAGCAGAGGUGAAGAUAUGUCCCAUUAGAAAUCUGCUUUUUUACUUACAUUUACUGAGGUUAUCAAGUACCUCUUUAUGAACUCUUCAUCCCUUUCUAAAAGGUAAAGUUGAAAUUGGGAAAUAUAUUGCAUCAGUUAUUGGGCAUUCUGGGGUUUUCCAUUAUUUUAAAAACCUCCUAUGUGCCUAAUUAUAGCUAAUAAGUACUGUUUAGAAACAUAGCAGAGAACUCAUGAUUUCCUUCUUCACCCAAUGCCCAGAAAAUCCAUGUCCGAGAACAAAAUCUUGAAGGUAUUUGUGAUCAUGACCCAUUCUCAUUAUCUGUAUCCAUUCUAAGAUUUUUAUAUUAUAUGAAUGAAUAUUUUAAAGUGAAAUUAUAGUAUUCAAUGGCAAAUUACAACUACAUGUGACCAAGAGAGGAUUAAACCCAUCAUUUUGCUUAAGAGCUCUGAUGGCUGGAGUAAUUGGAUGAUAGCUGUAGGGCAUCUUUUUGGUCUGUAAUUAGGUCAUUUCUUUCUCAUCCCUUCACUGUGUGUAUAAUUACGAAUUAAUUUGAAAUCCCACUGUGAGUAAAGAAAGUCAGUUUAAUAUAACGGAAGUGCAAAAGCCACAAUAUAUUACUUUUUAAAAACUGCUUAUUUCAAAAUACUCAGUCUGGCCAAAAGUUAUAUCCCUAUGUACUGCAAGGCUUAUAUUUGGUUUCUUUGCUAACUUUGUACAAGUGCUGCUCUGAAAGUAAUGCCUCCUGUUUUAUUAUGUUGGUGUGCAAUGUCAGAGGUGGAUUUUGGUGGUACAUCAGGAGAGGUUGAACCUUCACACCAGUAUUCCACUACAUUUUGUUGCUGUGUGACAGAUGGCAGCAGAGGGUCAGUCUGACAAAAUGGCUUCUGACACGGAAGCAUCUGAGAAGAAAAGAUGUGGAACUGAAUUCCUCCAUGUGGUAAAAAAAUUGCAUCCAUUGACUUUCACUGAUGCUUGCUGAACAUUUAUGGAGAUCAAACAGUGGAUGUGAGCUCAGUGAGGUUGUGGGUAAUGUGUUUCAACAGCAGUGAUAGUGGCAGUGGUUCACCUCCACCGGUGCAAAUUUUUACAAGAACAGCAAGCAGGUUCUCGUUCAUCGUUGGCAAAAAUGCAUAGCUAAUGACAGUGAAUAUGCAGCAAAAUAAAGUUUGUAUUUGAGAAUUUUCUCUAUGAAAUAGUGUUAUUGUGCUCUUUGUAUUUGUUGCAGUUUCUAUGGAAAUAAACAGCAAGUAUUACUUUUGAAUCAAUCUACGUUCCUGGAUGUAUUUUCUCUCUUAAAAUAAAUGAAUUUUCAAAGCACCACACUUUGCUCCAGUAUCUGUCAGUAGGUGUCAACAGCACAAAAAGGUAGUGGAAAGAAAUAAAAAGUAACCAUGAGAGUCUUGACAGACAGUAUUAGCAUCAGAGAACUUAGAGGCCACUCUCAACACAGUCAACCAUUUUAUCCUUUAGUCCUGCCAUUAUUUCCUUCCACUGAAACUACCUUUCUGCUUUUACCCUGAAAGUGUUAAACACUGCACAACCCUAACUAGCAUACCUGCUACUAUGUGCAUCAGGAGCUCACCAUUUCAUCAUCUGGCUGAGAUAUGCUGCUGGCAAGUUCUGCUUCCCUUCCUUUAUCACAACAUUGUGGUCGGAUGCAUCAGACCUCCCUCCCGCCUUAGCAAUGAUACAGGUAAAAACAUGCAUUUCUGACAAAUGGAUAACCCCAAGCAGAUCUGUGGAGACAAUGUUUUGACUUGCUGAACUUCCUGUUUCAUUCUGUUUUCAUCUGUCCCCAGAAACCUUGAAAGGGGUCGGUGAGAGGGUCCCAGGUGUGAUCUGAGCACCAGUGAUGUCAACAGCGAGCCAGGGGCUGUGCAGGGUGUGAAGUUAAAGGGAAGAGCAGAGAAAAGACUGUUGGUGCAGAGAACAAGGGUACUGAGAUUUGACUGUAUUUGUAGCUGUGCUGUAAAAAACUGUAAAACAUCCCAUGCCGUUAGCAUAAGAUUAGAUUUCUGCCAGGAAAAAAAAAAAAAAAAAGAGAGAGAGAGAGAGAACAAAAAGAAAUGGAACUGCUUAGAUAUAAGUUCCAAAGUUCAUUAAGAGGGUUCUUUUCUGCAUAGCUCCAAAGCUAAGAUGUGCUAAGGCAUGUAGAAAAAUAAGGAGGUGUUAAAAACCUACCCAACUUCUUAGCUUUCAAAAAAAGUUCAAAGUCCUAGUCAUCGAUUAUUUACAUGGUGACCUCCAGGCCUAUUUGUGAUGCCAAAAAAAUUGUACUCAGGAAGGAAGGAAGACAUUAUCAAAAAGGAAAGAAUUUCUGUUUAAUCUAAUAAUGCCUUUAUAAAAAUAACCAUUUUCUUUUACAUAUAAUAAAAAAUUCAUUAGAAAAUCUCAACAUAUUUUUAUAUAAAAAUAAUAACUGGCAACAUAGCUAGAAAUAAGAAGCAGAGAAAGAAACUUGGAUGCAUUUCUUGCUUGCAAGAGCAUGAUGAGGAAAUAAGGUAAUCUAGUCUUCCCAUUCUGAACAAAAUAGACAUGAUAACAGAAUAUAUAAAUCAAGACAUUUUUGGAGAAAUAAUGUCACUCCAUAAUUUUUGAAAGUAGAAAUAAUUUAAAAUUCAUGCAUGAAACUAAAUAGGUAAAAUAUGUCAUUUUGAAAUAACAUAACAGUAAAAAUAAUUUGUAAAACUUUUUUUGUUUUUUAACUGAGUCUCAUUUUAUACUUGGAAAAUUUUCUUUAGAAAAUUUUCAACCUCUUCUAUGUAGCUCCUGGGUAAAUAUGGAGGUUUUAUGGAAACCAAACAAAUGAAUUAAAUGACUACAAGAAUUAUUGGCUCUAAAUAUAUACAUUUUCUUCUGAUGCUACUAGAAUGUUACUAGUAUAUACUGUAUGAAUUAUAAAAAAUGUUAUGACAGAUAUGGAAGUAAUAUACUUCGGUGAUAAAUCUUCAAUAGAAAGAAUUUAUUAGAGUCAUAUAGAUCUACU
This 9529-nucleotide long non-coding RNA is filed under the name Gallus gallus (chicken). The record is from RNAcentral. Lineage: Eukaryota; Metazoa; Chordata; Aves; Galliformes; Phasianidae.